This is a small nucleolar RNA of Impatiens glandulifera, 139 nucleotides long. RefSeq annotates it as small nucleolar RNA snoR135. The record is from RefSeq and is a predicted model, not a curated record. NCBI's taxonomy places the organism in Eukaryota, Viridiplantae, Streptophyta, Magnoliopsida, Ericales, Balsaminaceae. The transcript has a single exon.
UCAGCAGGGAUUGUGUGUAUCGUCGUUGUGCCACUUAAUGCACUCUGAAUCGAAAGAUUUCCCUGCAAUAGAUAAUGGGGAAGAUGGGCAGUUGUUCUUCAUUCUCGUUGAAAGAUCAACAAUCAUCUUCCCCACAUUA